CACGCAUGGGACACUUCUUUGCGAGGGGACGUAUCAUCCCCUUGCGAAAGUAACCGAUGGGGAGGAUAAAGCUAUACACAGAUGUCACAAACAAUACUAAAAGUUACGAAAAUGCAAAUCAGAAGCGGAGAAAAUGAUAACGGGGAAAGAGAGAAAUAAACAUGUGGUACAAUGUCUCGAGCGAAAAAAGAGGAAAUGUAUUUAUUCUGCAAAACUGAAGAAAUAAAAUUAUAAGUGUAAGAACUUGAUAUUGCAACAUGAAACAAAAUUGUGGAAGACGCACAUUUGUUAGGAAUGAUAGUUAAAUAUGUGAAUUAAAGAGACAAAAGUUGUAUUACUUUUAACAAAAGAAGGGCUACGAAAACCACAGCGCGGAUGUCAUAGUGCAAAAUAAUAAUUUUUUUAUUAUCCAAAAAUACAAAAUAAUACAACAUUUUGCUUUAAUUUCACAAUCAGAGGGACAUCAGCUAUUUGAACAUAAGUUUCUGCAAAAUGCAAAGCACAAAAGUUUUUGUCGCAUAUCGCUGCGUCAAUUUUUUACCAAAAACAUUAUAAUGUAAAAA
Molecule: long non-coding RNA, 563 nt
Organism: Linepithema humile (Argentine ant)
Lineage: Eukaryota; Metazoa; Arthropoda; Insecta; Hymenoptera; Formicidae
Source: RefSeq, a predicted model, not a curated record